RNAcentral lists this ribosomal RNA (433 nucleotides) under uncultured bacterium. Its description in RNAcentral is "partial 16S ribosomal RNA". It matches the Rfam family "Bacterial small subunit ribosomal RNA", at positions 29 to 507 of the family's 1533-position model. The record is from RNAcentral.
AACGAACGCUGGCGGCAUGCCUAACACAUGCGAGUCGAACGAGACCUUCGGGUCUAGUGGCGCACGGGUGCGUAACGCGUGGGAACCUGCCCUUAGGUUCGGAAUAACUCCCCGAAAGGGGUGCUAAUACCGAAUAAUGUCUUCGGACCAAAGAUUUAUCGCCUUUGGAUGGGCCCGCGUUGGAUUAGCUAGUUGGUAGGGUAAAAGCCUACCAAGGCGACGAUCCAUAGCUGGUCUGAGAGGAUGAUCAGCCACACUGGGACUGAGACACGGCCCAGACUCCUACGGGAGGCAGCAGUGGGGAAUAUUGGACAAUGGGCGAAAGCCUGAUCCAGCAAUGCCGCGUGAGUGAUGAAGGCCUUAGGGUUGUAAAGCUCUUUUACCCGGGAUGAUAAUGACAGUACCGGGAGAAUAAGCUCCGGCUAACUCCGUG